This 468-nucleotide ribosomal RNA is filed under the name uncultured bacterium. RNAcentral describes it as "partial 16S ribosomal RNA". It matches the Rfam family "Bacterial small subunit ribosomal RNA", at positions 28 to 507 of the family's 1533-position model. The record is from RNAcentral.
GACGAACGCUGGCGGCGUGCUUAACACAUGCAAGUCGAACGGAAAGGCCCUGUCUUUGUGGGGUGCUCGAGUGGCGAACGGGUGAGUAACACGUGAGUUACCUGCCCUUGACUUUGGGAUAACCUCAGGAAACUGGGGCUAAUACCGGAUAGGAGCUCUUGCUGCAUGGUGGGGGUUGGAAAGUUUCGGCGGUUGGGGAUGGACUAGCGGCUUAUCAGCUUGUUGGUGGGGUAGUGGCUUACCAAGGCUUGGACGGGUAGCCGGCCUGCGAGGGUGACCGGCCACAUUAGGACUGGGAUACGACACAGACGCCAACGGGAGGCAGCGGUGGAGAGGAGUGCACAGUGGGCGGGAGCCAGGUGCGGCAACGCCGCGUGCGGGAAGACAGCCUUGGGGUUGUGAACCGAUUUCGCCUGUGACGAGGCGAUAGUGACGGUACUGGGUAAAUAAGCACCGGCUAACUACGUG